CCUACGGGAGGCAGCAGUGGGGAAUAUUGGACAAUGGGGGCAACCCUGAUCCAGCCAUGCCGCGUGUGUGAAGAAGGCCCUCGGGUUGUAAAGCACUUUCAGUGAGGAAGAACGCCUGGUGGUUAAUACCCAUCAGGAAAGACAUCACUCACAGAAGAAGCACCGGCUAACUCCGUGCCAGCAGCCGCGGUAAUACGGAGGGUGCGAGCGUUAAUCGGAAUUACUGGGCGUAAGGCGCGCGUAGGUGGCUUGAUAAGCCGGUUGUGAAAGCCCCGGGCUCAACCUGGGAACGGCAUCCGGAACUGUCAAGCUAGAGUGCAGGAGAGGAAGGUAGAAUUCCCGGUGUAGCGGUGAAAUGCGUAGAGAUCGGGAGGAAUACCAGUGGCGAAGGCGGCCUUCUGGACUGACACUGACACUGAGGUGCGAAAGCGUGGGUAGCAAACAGGAUUAGAUACCCGGGUAGUC
Molecule: ribosomal RNA, 465 nt
Filed under: Vreelandella stevensii
Lineage: Bacteria; Pseudomonadati; Pseudomonadota; Gammaproteobacteria; Oceanospirillales; Halomonadaceae
Description: partial 16S ribosomal RNA
Rfam family: Bacterial small subunit ribosomal RNA
Source: RNAcentral